Molecule: long non-coding RNA, 570 nt
Organism: Tachysurus vachellii
Lineage: Eukaryota; Metazoa; Chordata; Actinopteri; Siluriformes; Bagridae
Exons: 2
Source: RefSeq, a predicted model, not a curated record
CGUGUUGGCAGGUUUGAGGCUGAGCUGCGACAGGUUGCUGAGUGGAUACUGGAAAUCUGCCGGCAGCGUGGUUUUCUUGUUGCUGGUGUUCAGGGCAGAUUUACUGACGGUGGUUGCUGCCUGGAAAUGACAGGGCUCCUCCUGGAGCAGGCGUCUUUGUGCUCGUCAAAGUGAUCUCCGCAGUCUCCCGGCCCUCCGUCAUCUCCGUCCGCAUCGAACUGGUCCCCAAAAUCCGGUGCCUCGUCUGGUUCAAUGCCGGCAUUGACGUCGAAUGCGUGUUCGCCCUGCUUCAUUUUGUCCAGCAGCUGGUUCAAGUUAGUCGUCUGUGUAGAGGAACAAAGAUGAGACUUCAAGAAGAAUUCAAACAAUGUUGUUGUUUUAUGGACAAACAGCACCAGGAAGUAGUUGUGAUCUUUACAAGUCACUGGUGGAAUUUCCUUGUAAAUCGCUGGAUUACCUGCUCAGGUGUCCAUUGGGUGAAGGAGAAAUCUUGUAGAGAUGGGCAAAUGGGCAUCUUUUCCUCCAGCGUCUUUAAACUAACUGCAGGUACAGAAUAAAAAUCCCCAUUGA